CCCUUAGAUGUUCUGGGCCGCACGCGCGCUACACUGACUGCUCCAACAAGUUACCUGGGCUGACAAGCAUCCGGGAAAUCUUGCAAAGGCAGUCGUGAUGGGGAUAGAUUCUUGUAAUUUUUGAUCUUCAACGAGGAAUUCCUAGUAAACGCAAGUCAUCAGCUUGCAUUGAUUACGUCCCUGCCCUUUGUACACACCGCCCGUCGCAUCUACCGAUUGAAUGGAGAGGCAAAAUCUUCGGACCGUGACGCUUGGGAGUCAAAUCUCGGGCUGUCGUGGGAAGUGGAUUAAACCUUUCGAUUUAGAGGAAGGUAAAGUCGUAACA
Molecule: ribosomal RNA, 325 nt
Filed under: uncultured eukaryote
Lineage: Eukaryota
Description: partial 18S ribosomal RNA
Rfam family: Eukaryotic small subunit ribosomal RNA
Source: RNAcentral